AAAUUAUUAUGUUUGGUUUUUUGAUUGAAAUUUUGUUGAUGGUGUUUGUGGCUUAAGCAAUGCUUUUUGGGUUUUGUUUUUGAAGGUAUUGCAAAUGUGAAAUGCCAUAUAACCCAGAUGAUUUGAUGGUACAGUGUGAGGGGUGCAAGGACUGGUAUCAUCCUGCUUGUGUGAACAUGACCAUUGAACAAGCAAAAAUGUUAGAUCACUUCAUGUGUUCUGAUUGUUCAUCUGAUAAUGAUAUAAAAAAACCUCAGAAUACAUAUCCCUCCUCUCCGCUGACUAAUGGCAAGGUGAGUCUACGUUUUCCCCAAUUUGAAUGAUUGAAGUUGUAUGUGUUUCUUAGUUUGCUUCGAUUAGUUGGUUGUUACAUGAGUUAAUCUUGCCCACAGCUUUCUUGUCUUCUAGGCUGGUCUAUAGUCAUAACCUUUUUAAAAAAAUGCAAAUUGAUCGAUUGUAAUAACCUGGAGUUAUUUUUCUUUAAAUCAAAUUGUGAUCAAAUUCAUUUAUAAGACAAUGGGGAAGACUUUUUCUAGCUUUGUUUGAUGAAGAAGGAAUGAUGAAUUCUAAGAAGCAUAGACACAAAUACAGACACGGAUAUGUGGGUUGAUUGCUCACGUAUUUGCUAUGUAUAUAUGAAUAUAAUUUUAGGGCAUAGGGAUACAAGAUGCAUCAAUGUAUAUUUGGGUUUUUUUUUAUUUUAUUUUUUCAAUUUCCGCCCUUUUUGUUUUCGUAUAUUUUCCCUCGACACCAAAUCAACUUUCUAAAAUUAUAAAAAAGAAACUCAUAAAGGUGUCCUGAGACGUAUCCAAACACAGGAUACGAGUGUUUGUGAAAUAUCCCCAAAGUGUCCUACAAAAAAUAACAAUUAAAAAAAUUGAGACGUCACAUGACAUGUCCAACACGUGGACACGGACAGAGACACGGCACCCAUUUUGAAGUGUCAGCGCUUCAUAGACAGAACCCUCCCUAGGCGUGACCCAUAGCCAAAUGUGUUUACCAUUAGUUUCCUCCUCUUUCAAGAUUUAUAUUAUGGCUUAACUACUGAACUUCAGAGGAUUGCAGAUGCCCCUGUAAUUUCUGAACUGUAAAUGUGGCCUUACCUUUUAUAUCUCAUUGUUAUCUGAAGAUUUUGAGGUCAAAAGAGUACCAACUUUGUCACUUAUCCUCUUACAAAGCUCUGUUCUGUCUUGAACACAUGGCCCAUCUAUUCGUGAAGCAAACUUUCUGUUGUUUGCCUUCCUUUGCAAGUGGCCUAUGUUGAACAGUAUUCCAAUUUCUUGAUGUAGACCUGGUUUUGUUAUCUUUCCGAGUUCAGCCCCUUUGCAUUGAAGUAGUUUGAAUAAAAAAUAAACGAGUCUGACAACUGAAACUAACAGUACCAUGUGCAAUGCAAACCAAAUUAUGCAUGAAAAUUUUACUACAUUAUCACAACAUUGCAUUUGCAUUGCAACCGUAAAUGUACUGAUAUCCAGUUUCGUUGUCUUUGUUUUCAGUUCGUUGACGAUGAUAACAAAUGCUACUUGGAGAUCAACUACACGUUUGACAUCAAGAAGGAUUGGGCCACUCCUUAAAACAGCGGACUUGUAGACCAGCAUUAUCAUAUCUCAAAAUUCAUCUAUGUUCUUUGUACCAAAACCAGCUUAAUAUGUUUCUCCUUACAUAGAUUUAAUUAUAAUUCCCCAUUUAGUUUUCACCAAUUCAUUCCAGCAUGAUGCGAGAUUUUGUAAUGUUUCUUCUUCUUUAUUUCUUUUUUUGUUUUUUGAUUUUUCCUUUUUUUGGGUUUAAACUGUUUGUUGGGUAUUGUUAACAAUUAGAAUAGAAGGGUUGUCAGUCAGAAAGCAAUUCAGCUAA
Molecule: non-coding RNA, 1854 nt
Organism: Camellia sinensis
Lineage: Eukaryota; Viridiplantae; Streptophyta; Magnoliopsida; Ericales; Theaceae
Source: RefSeq, a predicted model, not a curated record